RNAcentral lists this ribosomal RNA (497 nucleotides) under uncultured bacterium. RNAcentral's name for it is "partial 16S ribosomal RNA". It matches the Rfam family "Bacterial small subunit ribosomal RNA", at positions 28 to 507 of the family's 1533-position model. The record is from RNAcentral.
GAUGAACGCCGGCGGCGUGCCUAAUACAUGCAAGUCGAGCGAACAGACGAGGAGCUUGCUCCUCUGACGUUAGCGGCGGACGGGUGAGUAACACGUGGAUAACCUACCUAUAAGACUGGGAUAACUUCGGGAAACCGGAGCUAAUACCGGAUAAUAUAUUGAACCGCAUGGUUCAAUAGUGAAAGACGGUUUUGCUGUCACUUAUAGAUGGAUCCGCGCCGCAUUAGCUAGUUGGUAAGGUAACGGCUUACCAAGGCAACGAUGCGUAGCCGACCUGAGAGGGUGGUGGGCCACACUUGAACUAAGACACGGUACAGACUCCGACGGGAGGCAGCAGUAGGGAAUCUUCCGAAAUGGGCGAAAGCCUGACGGAGCAACGCCGCGUGAGUGAUGAAGGUCUUCGGAUCGUAAAACUCUGUUAUUAGGGAAGAACAAAUGUGUAAGUAACUAUGCACGUCUUGACGGUACCUAAACAGAAAGCCACGGCUAACUACGUG